AUUAUCAAUGUGACUCCACGGGGGAGUCCAUGGUGAUGAUGAUGAGGAGGAGGAUGAUGAUGAUGAGACACCUCUAAACUUGGAACAAGUUUAAGACUAUGAGAGAAGAAAAAAAAUCACCAACAAGAUUUGUUUGAGGAAAAAUUAUAACUAUCCUGUGUUGAUUUUUUUUUUAUAAACAAUAAGAAAAAGUUGUUGGAUUUUUUUUUAAUGAUUUCUUUUUUGGGGGAGGGAAUUUUGUUGCAGUUUUAUGGUGGAAAAUGCAAAAACCAGAGCCAGGUGCAUAAUCUUGUAAUCUGUGGAUAUCCCUGGAGCAGGACUGAGUACCAGUUAAAAUACUUUUUGGGGAUACACAUGUGAGAUACUAAGUACUUGCAGAAGAUUUUUGUCUCUUUUUAAAGUCUCUUUCCUUGGAAUAUUGUGAGAAUAUUUGUGGCCAUUUAAGGUUUGUGUGAUUUUGCUAAAAUGCAUCACCAACAGCGAAUGGCUGCCUUAGGGACGGACAAAGAGCUGAGUGAUUUACUGGAUUUCAGUGCGAUGUUUUCACCUCCUGUGAGCAGUGGGAAAAAUGGACCAACUUCUUUGGCAAGUGGACAUUUUACUGGCUCAAGCUUUUGAGGAGGAGGAGAUAUUCUGAAGCAUAUUUGAAAUAAAUUGAGGAACGUAACUUGGCAAAUAUGAGGUGCAGGAAUAAUCCAUGUGCAGGAGAGACGGUGAAAGAUUACUCAGAGGUACAGAGCCAUGGAGAAUCAGAAGGAACACUGGAAGUUUCUCAUGGAGAUGGAAACCUGAGAACUUGACUGUGCUUGGGACAGGUUGGAGGAGUCCUGGGUGGUGCUGAAGAGGCUCGGUUCCAGAGUCAGGCCGUCGAGUUUGAAGGCUGGCUCUGCCAUUCGCUAACGUUGUGACCUUGGAAAAGCUUACCUACCUCUCUGAGUCUCAGUUUGCUCAUCUGUAAAAUGGCAAGAGUGUCCACUUCAUGGAUUUGUGAGGAGUAAAUAAGCUAGUCCGUGUAAAGAGCUGACUGCAGUGAUGCAUACAGAAAGCACCGGAAGUAUUAGCUGUGAUUGAUGGUAGGAGCCACAGCAUGCAGCAGGAGAAUGAUUUUUGAGGUGUUUGAAGAAUAAUAUGUAAAGAGGGCUGGAUGGUGUGACUCACGCCUGUAAUCCCAGCACUUUGGGAGGCGGAGGUGGGCGGAUCACUUGAGGCCAGGAGUUGGAGACCAGUCUGGACAACAUGGCGAAAAUGCCACCUCUACUAAAAGUAGAAAAAUUAGCCGGGCUUGGUGCUGGGUGCUUGUAAUCCCAGCUACUCGGGAGGCUGAGGCAGGAGAAUUGCUUGAACCCAGGAGAUGGAGGUUGCAGUGAGCCAAGAUCGCGCCACUGCACUCCAGCCUGAGCUACAGAGUGAGACUUCGUCUCAUAGAAAAAAAAAAAAAGAAUAACAUGAGGAUGUGUUUGGUGUUGGCAUUUUGGUCACAUUGAAGCAGGGAGGGAAUGGACAUUUCUUUCAGAACCAUGCAGCCCUAAACGUUAAACAGAGAGGUUUUUGGGGAUAAGUGUAAUGAUUUUGAUGUGGAUAUUUUAGAAGGUUGGGCAUAACAGCCGAUUCAAUCCUUUUUUAUCACCAUCGAUGAAAAGGGCUACAUAAAGAUUUAAGAAGAGGAGGACAUUCUUUUCUCCACAGCUGGUCAUGCGCCCAGUGUAGUUGGCAGGAAAACGGAUUGUUUGGAAUGUGUCCCUAAAAUCCUGUAAUUUAAUUUUCAUUAUUUAUAUAACGCAGUCCGUAUAUGUGGCGCUGUACUACAUGCACACAAGACCAAAUUUCUGGCCAGUGUAAUUUUACCAAAGAAGAGACUGUAACUGAAAUAUUUGUACCUACUAAACUAACUGCAGCUUGGUAACUCACCGUUAGGGAGUCCCUGUGAUCCCAAUCAGCAACAGAGGUUGGAGGAACGCAUUGUUGGCAGUGAAAUAAGGGGUCAGGAACUAGAAUAAAUAGUGCUGGGAUGGUAAACGGGCCCAUGUUAUACUAAGUGUAAUAUAAAGUCACUGACUUUGAGGAGUCCAGAAAAACAAGUUUGUAAAUACUGACAUUAAAGUAGCAACCAGUUUUCAUGCUACU
This 2124-nucleotide small RNA is filed under the name Pongo abelii (Sumatran orangutan). Its description in RNAcentral is "processed transcript". The record is from RNAcentral. Lineage: Eukaryota; Metazoa; Chordata; Mammalia; Primates; Hominidae.